RNAcentral lists this unclassified non-coding RNA (194 nucleotides) under uncultured Ascomycota. RNAcentral describes it as "sequence contains ITS1". The record is from RNAcentral. Lineage: Eukaryota; Fungi; Ascomycota.
CUGGAAUAAACGCCCUCACGGGUGCUACCCAGAAACCCUUUGUGAACUUACUUUAUACUGUUGCCUCGGCAUUGGUUGGCCUCCUUCGCGAGGUCCCUCUGUUCUUUAGAACGAGGAGCAGACCGGCCGGUGGCCCCUUUAUAACUCUUGUUAUUUUUUUAGUACUUCUGAGUCAACUAUACAAAAAUGAAUCA